Molecule: ribosomal RNA, 1036 nt
Filed under: metagenome
Description: bacterial SSU rRNA
Rfam family: Bacterial small subunit ribosomal RNA
Source: RNAcentral
AGAAUAAGCACCGGCUAACUACGUGCCAGCAGCCGCGGUAAUACGUAGGGUGCGAGCGUUAAUCGGAAUUACUGGGCGUAAAGCGAGCGCAGACGGUUACUUAAGCAGGAUGUGAAAUCCCCGGGCUCAACCUGGGAACUGCGUUCUGAACUGGGUGACUAGAGUGUGUCAGAGGGAGGUAGAAUUCCACGUGUAGCAGUGAAAUGCGUAGAGAUGUGGAGGAAUACCGAUGGCGAAGGCAGCCUCCUGGGAUAACACUGACGUUCAUGCUCGAAAGCGUGGGUAGCAAACAGGAUUAGAUACCCUGGUAGUCCACGCCCUAAACGAUGUCAAUUAGCUGUUGGGCAACUUGAUUGCUUAGUAGCGUAGCUAACGCGUGAAAUUGACCGCCUGGGGAGUACGGUCGCAAGAUUAAAACUCAAAGGAAUUGACGGGGACCCGCACAAGCGGUGGAUGAUGUGGAUUAAUUCGAUGCAACGCGAAGAACCUUACCUGGUCUUGACAUGUACGGAAUCCUCCAGAGACGGAGGAGUGCCUUCGGGAGCCGUAACACAGGUGCUGCAUGGCUGUCGUCAGCUCGUGUCGUGAGAUGUUGGGUUAAGUCCCGCAACGAGCGCAACCCUUGUCAUUAGUUGCCAUCAUUUAGUUGGGCACUCUAAUGAGACUGCCGGUGACAAGCCGGAGGAAGGUGGGGAUGACGUCAAGUCCUCAUGGCCCUUAUGACCAGGGCUUCACACGUCAUACAAUGGUCGGUACAGAGGGUAGCCAAGCCGCGAGGCGGAGCCAAUCUCACAAAACCGAUCGUAGUCCGGAUUGCACUCUGCAACUCGAGUGCAUGAAGUCGGAAUCGCUAGUAAUCGCAGGUCAGCAUACUGCGGUGAAUACGUUCCCGGGUCUUGUACACACCGCCCGUCACACCAUGGGAGUGGGGGAUACCAGAAGUAGGUAGGGUAACCGCAAGGAGCCCGCUUACCACGGUAUGCUUCAUGACUGGGGUGAAGUCGUAACAAGGUAGCCGUAGGGGAACCUGCGGCUG